GACUCCAUGAAGCUGGAUUCGCUGUAAUCGCGCAUCAGCCACGGCGCGGUGAAUACGUUCCCGGGCCUUGUACACACCGCCCGUCAAGCCAUGGAAGCCGGGAGUGCCUGAAGUGCGUGAGCGUAAGCAGCGCCCUAAGGUAAAACCGGUGACUGGGGCUAAGUCGUAACAAGGUAGC
This 178-nucleotide ribosomal RNA is filed under the name uncultured bacterium. RNAcentral describes it as "partial 16S ribosomal RNA". It matches the Rfam family "Bacterial small subunit ribosomal RNA", at positions 1314 to 1500 of the family's 1533-position model. The record is from RNAcentral.